GGCCAAUAAUGAACUCAGAUUGCAGAUUUCUGCCGGGAGUGCAUUCCACAGCCCAGAAACAGCCACAGAGAAGGCCCGCCUUUUGACAGGACAGAGGGUACCAAUGUAGAAACAGUGGGAGCCUCAAAAAAGGUGCACUAGGGAACAGUCACAGGGCAAUAGUCCUUCCCUGUUGGUUGGUUGGCCUCCUGCAACUGGUCUUCAGAGGCAUACUGCUGCUGAGCAUGGAAGUUCCACGCAGUAGGAAAGCAGUUCAUGCACGCUGGCCACUUCCUGUCUGAUGCUGACUGGGGCAGCAAGAGGCUAUAUAGCUGCCCUGCGACAGAGGUUUUGGAAGCAGCGCCGGAGGGGGGAACACUGUAAGGGAGGUAAGGACACCCUCCCCGUGCAGUAAAGCUACCCCCCCCUCCCCCCAGCAAACACACAAACCUUUGAAGCAGCUUGAGUGCCGGUCUUUUGAACAAGUCCAGUGACCUGUGAAUAGAACCGCUUCAGGCACACUCCUGUUUGAAAGUACUCCUGCACAGGUACGGCCCUCAUACAUUUCAGUGUCAAGCACGGGCAAGGAAUGUCGGAAGAUGCCCACACUACAGGGGUUUAAGUCUGCUGUUCCCAGAGAACCCUGGGAACUGUAGUUCCAGGGGCGGAAUGUGAGCGGUCUCCAACCAGACACUGUCAGCACCCUCCCUAAACUACAAUUCACAGGCUUCCUUGGCGGGGAGGCCAUGGCAGUGAGGCACUGUAGUGGCACCGCAGAAGAUUGGCGAGGAGUUUAGUGGUGUCGUCCAUUUCUGCCCUCUACACAUGAUAUAUUGCUUAUAGUUAGACAUUUCUGCAUAUAUUGCUUAGGAGGCCUUUCUAGGCCUUUCUCCUUGGGCUUUUCCUGGAAGGCAUGAACUAUGAACGACACUGACGGGAUGUUUAUACCUGGCCGAGUAGUACAGCUAGACCCCGGCGAUAUUCCCCAAAAUAAUUAGGAAGGAUCAGAGGCAUUGCCCAACACACAGAUAGUGCUUCCCCAAACAUCUAGGGAAGAUGAAUCAGGCUGUGCCCAGGGUUGGAAUGCACUUAGCAUCAGGGGCGUAACGAUAGGGGGGGCAGGGGGGGCACGUGCCCCAGGCGCCACUUGGCAGGGGGCGCCAAAAAGUGCCCCCACCAAUCCCCUGCCUUUGGCAAAAAAGAAUUUUUUUGUGAUUUUUUUUCUCAUUACGGAGCUCUCCGGCGGGCGGGAGCUCCCAUUGGCUGCCGGAGAACACAUGCCGACCAUGCUGGUUGUCUCAGUUCCUCCCUCCCUGCUUGCUGCGCGCACGAGGAGUGGAGCGGAGUAGCUUGGUUUAGUUGAGAGCGCAGCUGCUGCUGGGGACCUUCUCUGACUCGGCCUGCCUGCCGUUUGCCCACCACACUGCCCUCUGGCUGCAUUUUAUUCUUCUGCUUCUGCAUUAACAAAUCUAUCCGAUCCACGGCUGAAAUGGCAUAUAUGAUUGCCUGGGAGGAGAAAGAGACAGUGGCACAGAGACUGCAUUUAAGAAAAUCUCUGUAUGAAGAGGCUUGGCUGCCACUCGCCGAGAGAGAAGACAGACAAGGCACUUCCACAACCCACACAAAGAUGCAGUUUGGCAACAUGAUCUUGUGCACCCUGAAUAUGAGAGAGGUACUGGAAAGGGGGAGGUUUUUAAACUGAUGGGUCUGGCUAGGAUCUGGGACUGUUGCCUUGUUGUCCACUAAUUCACAGGGAAGGGGGCCAUGGCCCAGUUCAGGAAGCCGAAGGGACGCCUAAUAUGCAGCUCAGCCUAGCCAGCACUUCCUGAAUUCAGAACGGGGAAGGCGAAUGGUACAGGCGGCAGUUACUCAAACCACUGUGUAGUCAGCAGAGUUUCAUCCUUCGCUGCACAGCUAUCUGCUGACAUGCAAAAACAAAACCCUACAUGGAUUCAGCAAAAUAUCAAGGCGUCUAAAAAGAAUCCAGAGAAAUACAUAUAUUUUAAUAUAAUUAUAAUAAAACUAUACCCUUAGGGGACACUUUCCAGUUACGCAGGGAGUCAUAUAAGGGUAUAGUUUUAUUAUAAUUAUAUUAAAAUAUAGUUAUCUGCUCAGCCAUGCAGUUUUCAGCACUCAUAAGAACAGCUCUGCUGGAUCAGGCCCAAGGAGGCCCGUCUAGUCCAGCAUCUUGUUUCAUGCAGUGGCCCAGCAGAUGCCUCUGGGGAGCCCACAGGCAAGAGGGAUGUGCAUGCCCCCUCUCUCUUGCUGUUGCUCCCCUGCAACUGGGAUUGAGAGGCAUUGUGCCUCUGAGGCUGGAGGUGGCCCACAGCUAGACUAGUAGCCAUUGAUAGGACUGUCCUCCAUGAAUUUGUCUAAGCCCCUUUUAAAGCCAUCCAAGCUGGUGGCCAUCACCACAUCCCCUGGCAAAUAAUUCCAUAGAUUAAUUAUGCACUGUGUGGAAAAAGUACUUCCUCUUGUUGUUCCUAAAUUUCCCAACCUUCAGUUUCAUGGAGUGACCCCUGGUUCUAGUGUGGUGAGAGGGAGAAGAAUUUCUUUCUCUCCACUUUCUCCACACCAUGCAUGAUUUUAUAGACCUCCAUCAUGUCUCCCCGCAGUUGUCUUUUUUCUAAACUAAAGAGCCCCAGGUGUUGUAGUCUUGCUUCAUAAGGAAGGUGCUCCAGGCCCCUGGUCAUCUUGGUUGCCCUCUUCUGCACCUUUCCCAGUUCUACAGUGUCCUUUUUUAGAUGUGGUGACCAGAAUUGGAUGCAAUAGUCCAGAUGUGGCCGCACCAUCAUUUUGUAUAAGGGCAUGAUAAUAUUAGCAUUUUUAUUUUCAAUCCCCUUCCUAAUGAUUCCUAACAUGAGUCCUAGAUUCCUUUAACAUUUUAAAUUUCUGUAUUCCCACUCAUCCCCUCUGCCUUCCAAUCUUUUUUUUUUUAAGGGGAGGGGCAGAUUAGAAAUAUAGGACACUGCCUUGUGCAUAAGUCAGACCCUCGGUCCACUUAACUCAAGAUUGUCUGCACUGACUGGCAACAGCUCUCCAAGGUUCCAGGCAGGCGUCUCUCCCAGCCCUACCUGGAGAUGCUGCCAGGGAGUGAGCCUGGGGCCUUCUGCAUGCCAGGCACGGGCUCUCCUGCUGAGCGAUGGGCCCAUUCCCAUAUCCGUGGACCCCUGAUGCAAACCCUUCCUCAGGCUUAUAUCUACAGAGAGAUUUCCUCCCACUCCACCAGGCCUCUGCUCCCCCCACAGUUUUCUUAAGGAGCCCCAAUAUAUUUCUGGCCAACUCAUUUCACACACCAAGCAAUUCUCACAACAGGGCACACGUAUCUCCACGCCAAAGUUGCACAACUUCAGCCCUCUUAGAGAUCUUGGACUACAGCUCCCAUAACUCUUGACUAUGGAUGCCCGAGGCCAAGGAUGAUGGGAGUUGUAGUCCAAAACCAGCUCGGGGGCCAGAGUGUGCAGCCCUUCUCUGUGCUUGCUCACUCACACCCGGAAGUUCUUACAAGUCUCUUUGACCUUGCCCCACACAAAAGUCGCUGAAGCUGUGCCGGAAGGAGGAAGGGAGACACCCCCACCAGUCACUCACCUUGGCGGGCCAGAACUGCUCCCGCCACUUGCAAAGGACGUAUUCUCCUUCAGUCAUUGCUGCGGCUGGCAGAGGAAAGUGGAUACCUGAUAUGUAGAUGAGAGGAAUCAAUUUUAAGUAUAGUAGCCUCAAAGUGGGUAGGAAAAAAAUAUGGCUUCAUUGUUACUGUCCCACACAUUUUUACCCUGCGUUUUACUUUGUAUACAUACAGAUGGUGCUAUAAAAUUGAUUUCACCCUCACAAUUGCCCUAGGUUAUUUAUUAUUAUUUAUGUAUUUAAUUGAUUUAUAUACCGCCCUUCCAAAAUGGCUCAGGGCAGUUUACAAUUAAAACAAGCCACUAAAACAAAAACUGAAACAAAUUAAAAACAAUAUAGCAAUUAACAAUAUAAAAAUAUUUUAAAAUAGGAUUAAACAGUUUACAGUAAUUAAAAGCCCCAAAAUCGGGUUAAAAUUUAAAAACCCUGGAAAGCCAGGCCAAACAAAUACGUUUUAAGGGCUCUCCUCCCGAAUUCAAAUUACGGAUUUCCGCAGGGAGCG
Long non-coding RNA from Hemicordylus capensis (graceful crag lizard), 4105 nucleotides. RefSeq lists it as uncharacterized. The transcript is spliced from 3 exons. Lineage: Eukaryota; Metazoa; Chordata; Lepidosauria; Squamata; Cordylidae. The record is from RefSeq and is a predicted model, not a curated record.